This 468-nucleotide ribosomal RNA is filed under the name uncultured bacterium. RNAcentral's name for it is "partial 16S ribosomal RNA". It matches the Rfam family "Bacterial small subunit ribosomal RNA", at positions 28 to 507 of the family's 1533-position model. The record is from RNAcentral.
GACGAACGCUGGCGGCGUGCUUAACACAUGCAAGUCGAACGGAAAGGCCCUGCUUUUGUGGGGUGCUCGAGUGGCGAACGGGUGAGUAACACGUGAGUAACCUGCCCUUGACUUUGGGAUAACUUCAGGAAACUGGGGCUAAUACCGGAUAGGAGCUCCUGCUGCAUGGUGGGGGUUGGAAAGUGUCGGCGGUUGGGGAUGGACUCGCGGCUUAUCAGCUUGUUGGUGGGGUAGUGGCUUACCAAGGCUUUGACGGGUAGCCGGCCUGAGAGGGUGACCGGCCACAUUGGUACUGAGAUACGGCCCAGACGCCUACGGGAGGCAGCAGUGGAGAAUAUUGCACAAUGGGCGGAAGCCUGAUGCAGCAACCCCGCGUGCGGGAUGACGGCCUUCGGGUUGUAAACCGCUUUCGCCUGUGACGAAGCGUGAGUGACGGUAAUGGGUAAAGAAGCACCGGCUAACUACGUG